GCCUCGGUAGCGCAGUAGGCACCGCGUAAGUCUCAUAAUCUUAAGGUCGUGAGUUCGAUCCUCACCCGGGGCA
Molecule: transfer RNA, 73 nt
Filed under: Manduca sexta (tobacco hornworm)
Lineage: Eukaryota; Metazoa; Arthropoda; Insecta; Lepidoptera; Sphingidae
Description: tRNA-Met
Rfam family: tRNA
About the family: Transfer RNA (tRNA) molecules are approximately 80 nucleotides in length. Their secondary structure includes four short double-helical elements and three loops (D, anti-codon, and T loops).
Source: RNAcentral